Molecule: long non-coding RNA, 1165 nt
Organism: Nicotiana attenuata
Lineage: Eukaryota; Viridiplantae; Streptophyta; Magnoliopsida; Solanales; Solanaceae
Exons: 5
Source: RefSeq, a predicted model, not a curated record
UAGCCAACCUAGCCGCAGCCCCCACUUCAUCUCUCUCACCCUCUCAUCUUCAAGCAGUCACCUUACAAACCCCUUCUUCUCAAAAACCCAAUUCCAUACUUUCUUUCUUCUCUGCUCUCUUCCUUUUUUCUGAAUCUUUCUUUAUCUUCUUCUUCAAUUGGCUCUCGACUCGUGCUGCCCUCUCUGACUUCGAUCAAUUGGAGAACGAUGUUGAAGUAGCUGAAAAACCCCGUUUUUUUUAAGACCUUAAACUCACUGGAAAUGGCGCAACUUAAAGAAGCCAAAUUUCAAAAGCCGCUGAGCUCUGAGAGUGAAAUCCAAUUCAAAUGAGGCAGUGGACGAUCCCUUCCGUCUUGUUUCUGUUAUGUCUUCUUUUCCUUCUUCCAGAGCAAGGUCGGAGGAUACAAGCAAAUGAUUUUUUCACUCACUAGUGUUGACAGUGCUGCCCUUGCCGGCCUGUUCGAACGUGCUGGAAAUGUCGAAAUGGUUGAGUUGGCUUUCAAGGUUAAUCGAAUUUUAAAGGGGCUGGUUAUUGAGUGUUUGUUUUUCUACUCAUUAGUUCGGGUCCGCAAGGAUAACCCAGUGGCUACCCUCGCGCAAAUUAAAUGGGCCCUGCUGCAUACUGCCCGGCAAUUUUAAGGCCAUAAUGGAAGGAGAUCUCUGCAAUCCAUGAUGGAAUGGAGCAUGAUCAAAGGGUAGUGCGCAACUGUGUUAUCAAGGGAGCUGUAAAUGGUCAUGCACUUUUCAACGAGGGCUACGGCAUUAGUUUUCUCAUUACAAAUUAUCAUUGUGAAGAGAUGCAGAAGCAGAAGCUUAUUGAUUUCAUAGUGCAAUUCAUGGAGGAUAUCGAUAAGGAGAUCAGUGAACACCCGAGGGAGGCUUGUUGCUAGGAUAUUGAAAUUUUAUGAAUUUUAUGUUUUAUUUUUCUUUGUUUAUUCUCUGUUUUCUGUAUUCAUUUUUUUGUCCUCUAUUUGAAGCUAGGAACUACAGAAAUUCUCUAUUGUAUUGCAUCAAUGAGUUCCCUUGGAAGGGUGAAUACUCAGUUAAUGUUUGCAACGGGUUGUAUUAGAUAUUGUAGUGCUAAGUUGUUUGCUUGUGUUGGUUAAUCAAAAGGGAUCGUUUAGUACGAGAGAUACUAGAUAAUUAAUCUCGGGAUUAAAUAUGA